UGAUAAAAAAAAUUUAUUCUAUAGGGAGCCUACAGUCAGGCCUAAGAUCUCCAACCUCACUUCUUUCGAGUUUCACAGUCAUUGCCAUGGUUUGGGUGCGGCAAAGUUCCCCAAGGGUACGUUUGAACCCUUGGCCAAUACCAAGCACCCAAAAUAUCAUAAUUAGACAACUGCAAGUUUGGUAAUGCCAGCCUCAUGCAUCAAAGUUCAAUGGGUGCUCAGUGCUUGAGAAAGCAAUUGAAAGAAUUGAGAGAGUUUAAGAAAACAGUUGGAAGAGUUGCAAGAAUUCUUUUGAAAUCUUUUAGACUGACCAGUUUUAGAACAACAGAGCAUCACCCGAAUAAGGGAAAAGGGGAUGGGAACAAAUAAGCAAAGUAAACUACUCACACAAGAAACAUAUUGGAAGAAAAUAACUAGACAUGGUUGCAAAACAAGAGUUCAGUUCUUACUGUACCAAACUCUAAUACACUUAGCCUCAAACAGAGGUUUUAGGUUUACUUAUGAUAUUAUAGCAUCGUCAUCAUUCUUACUGUACCAAACUCUAAUACACUUAGCCUCAAACAGAGGUUUUAGGUUAACCAAGUAGCCAAAC
This 592-nucleotide long non-coding RNA is filed under the name Nicotiana benthamiana. RNAcentral describes it as "long non-coding RNA (NBEN_LNC008877)". Lineage: Eukaryota; Viridiplantae; Streptophyta; Magnoliopsida; Solanales; Solanaceae. The record is from RNAcentral.